This 613-nucleotide long non-coding RNA is filed under the name Homo sapiens (human). Its description in RNAcentral is "HSALNT0049704". The record is from RNAcentral. Lineage: Eukaryota; Metazoa; Chordata; Mammalia; Primates; Hominidae.
UUUGGCUACAAAUUUUCAAAGUGUAUGGCCUUGUUUGUUUUCUGCUGGGAUUAUUUUUCUAGUUUUUCCUUUCUAUUCUGUUAGGGACUGGGGGCAGGACACUGUGAUUCCGCUUAAUCCUGCUGUCUUUGACAUUUUUUUAAUGUCCAUGAGCAGGGACAAAUCUUAGUCUCAUAAGAAUGUGCCUGAUUUGGGAAGCAGGCCUCACUCAGCACCGACCGCCCCUCCUGGCACAGCACUGGCAUCCCCUGGUGUUCCAUAAACACAGAGACUGAGAGAUGAGCAGACGAGUAUGGGCCCUGGAUGCUCCCUGCAGCCCCUCUGCAGAGCUGGACCUGCAGUCCAAGACUCCUUGGGGAUGAGGGGUCUAGGGUUUAGUCCCUGUCCCUGGACAGUGAUGGAGCUAAAGGCAUGGGGCAGCGUCUGUCCCUUUUAUGGGGGGAAGCUGAGGCUGCUGGGGGCAGUGCCUGUCCCGAGAUGUCCCCAGACUCAGGUGCUCUGCUCCUUCCUUCCCAUAAAUCCUGGGCCUCCCCUGUGUCCUAAGGGCCUGCGGCCACCUGGCUAGUCCUGUUGCUGGUCCUCCUCCAGGGGACAGAAAGUAACCGACAUCUCC